AUGUGUGUGUGUGAACACGGGUGUGCGCAUAUCAGUGUGUGUGGAUGUGUACGUGUGAGUGGGUGUGCGCGUAUCAGUGUGUGUGUGGAUGUGUGUGUGUGAACACGGGUGUGCACGUAUCCGUGUGUGUGUGUGGAUGAACAUGGGAGCUCAAUGCAGGUUCUGCUUCCCCCCCAUCAGAGCUGCCCUGGCAUCUGGCUUUGACCUUAGGAUGGGGCGUGACCUUGGGAGGCCGUGAGCGCUCCCCUCGCGCUGUGGAAGCCCUGGGGACUCAGGGCUGCGUGAGAGGAGCCAUGCCACAGCCAGCGACAGCUCCUGAUGUGUGAGCAAGGCCAGGUGAGACCUCCGCCCAGCCGAGCAGCUGAUGAAGCCACAGAGGUGACCCGGGGAGCUCAGCAGAGGGACCUGGACAGCAACUCCCUGCACCUGAGACUUGCAGACCCUCGGCAAGCGCAGGUGUUCACUGCCUCGUAGCAGAGGUGACAUGCAGACGCUGGACCUCAGCGCACUCACCUGCCAGAGAGGAGACGUGAACAGCGGUGGACAUGAGGAAAGGCCAGAGGCAGCAGCCAGCCCAUCUCAGGCACGUCACUGUGGAAGCAACAGCCGGAGGAGCCACAGAAAGCAGAACUCCCAAAGCCACCCACGUACGUCAGGUCUUAGCUCGGAUCUCCUGGAGACAGGCCCUGCAAAGGAGCUGGGUUGGGACCAGGUUUAUCGGGGCGUGAUCUUAGGAGGCAGCCAUAGGAGGUGAGGAAGGCAGGGUGUGCAGAGUGCAGCUGACCCAACCGGCCGGGCUGACCCAUGGGACGCCCUGGGCUGAGACGCUGUCAGCACUGCCCCAGUCUGAGACCACCUUGGGAGGGGUGUAACCUUGUGCAGGGCGGCUCUCCGCAGCGGAGGGCAGCCCCAGGGGAGGACACGGCUGGGGACACCAGCAGCAACGUCCCAGCGCACCCAGGAGUAGGGAGGGUCGGGGGGCCAUCCAGUGCCCACGACACUCAUGGACACAAAAGCCAACCAGAGAAAACCGAGUCUCCAGCAAAGAGCCGAGCGCUGAGUGUGGAGUGUUCACCUGUCUGUCCCGUUGCCCAUCUCUAUCCCAGGCAGGCCCUCCCCGGUCUUGCCACCACACUGGACCACCGUGUGGACCCUGUGCUCACCCAGGCCUCACCUUUCAGCCCCCUAAGCUGGGCCCAAAGCAGCAGACUGUGUUGUGCAGAUGCUGUGGCUCACGGCCCCCACUCCCUGCUAGGCAGAGGUGCCAGGUAAGACAGGAUAACCAAUAAAAUUAGAACGUCAGAGAAACA
Molecule: non-coding RNA, 1310 nt
Organism: Macaca mulatta (Rhesus monkey)
Lineage: Eukaryota; Metazoa; Chordata; Mammalia; Primates; Cercopithecidae
Source: RefSeq, a predicted model, not a curated record